AAUAGCAUCAGGUUUUAUGGAGAGCACUUGAGCUCUUCCAGCUGAAGUUUUGGAGGAUGCCCUCCACAGGACGCCAGAUGGGAACGAGUCAAGCUCUCAGAGUGUUUACUGCUGUCAAACUGUGGGUCAACGAGGGACUCUGAGAGAGCCAAACACAGGCGCUGCUCUUCCUCCCAACACCACACCUCCCUGCUUCCUCCGUCAUCCUCCUCCACUGUGAGAGAAAACUGAAGGACCAUCCAAGAGAAUGUGCUGGAAACACUUCCAAACUGUCACACACAUAUAUCACACAAACACACACACUCACACACACACUCGUCUUCCUCUCCUGUGUGAUCCUGGCAGCGGCUGGGUGAGAAACAGCAGGACGGGCCGCUGCUCUUCAUCAGCGGAGAGCAGCCUUGACUCUUUGACGUUCAGCUAUUCAGGGUUUUCCUCUGCCUCACUUCUCUCAAGCUUUUUGUUUUUCUUGGUACAAAAACCGACAGCAGAGGAAUGAACUAUGGGAAAAAAUAUGUUUGAAUGUUGGUGAGAAAAUACACAUGUGGGCUCCGCCUGAAUGAAGCUGAAUCACUCUGAAAAAAACAAUAAUUUAAGAGUCACAGAAGAUUUAGAGGAGCUAUAUGGGAGUGUGUUUUCUCAGGACGGUUGCGUUCACACUGCAGGUGAAAAAAAGAUCAAAUCUGGAUUGUAAUUGAUGCACUUAAAAUCUCUUUUGGGGGGCACAGAUUUGGCCUAAUGGUUAAGUUGGGCACCCAUAUAGUGGGCAGCCUAUGUCAAUUCCAGCCUGUGGCCCCUUUCUCACAUCAAUCUCACACGCUCUCCCAGUUUCCUACUCUAUUCACUGUCCUCAACUCUAUCUAUAAAGGUGUAAAAAAUAUAACUUUAAAAAAAAUCUCUUUCGGGCUUGUUUGAUGUUUUACAUCUUGUAAUAAGUAUCUUAAAUGUAGAAGUGCAAUCCCAGCCUGAACCUUGAUAAAUAAUGAAAACGUGGCCUGAUGUGUGAAUGUUUUUCUAAAAGGAAUUAAAAACAUGAA
Notolabrus celidotus (New Zealand spotty) is the source of this 1037-nucleotide long non-coding RNA. RefSeq lists it as uncharacterized. The transcript has 2 exons. The record is from RefSeq and is a predicted model, not a curated record. Lineage: Eukaryota; Metazoa; Chordata; Actinopteri; Labriformes; Labridae.